UUUAGAAAAAAGAAAUUUUGGAAGCAGCUGAAAGAUGACAAUAACUAUUCAGCAUCCACUUGUGACUGAUGUUCUAAAACUAAAAUAUUAGGAAGGUAUAAGGAAAAGGACAGAAAAGAAGGAACCCUAAUUCAUCUGCUUCUUCUCCGUCUCACGUUCAACCGCCCAGCCCCUUCCUUGCCUCUCCGGUAGUAUCUCGAUGACAGUCCUUUGAGAUUAGCGGCGGAUCGUACUCUCACUCACUCAGUUUCUGGAAGUGAUUUGCUGAUUAAACGGAGCAAUAUGUGUAUUAUUUGCGGAAUCAUCUUCUGAAUUCUUCCUAGGGAUAAGGUUGAAGAUGGACAUAAUUUCCCAAUUGCAGGAACAAGUUAACACAAUUGCUGCUUUAGCUUUCAACACAUUUGGGACAUUGCAGAGAGACGCUCCUCCAGUUCGUUUAUCCCCUAAUUACCCCGAACCACCGUCUCAGGAGCCUACAGAGGAUAGUGCAACCAUCGCAGAGCAGCCCAAGCUUAUGAGUGCCGCUUUGGUGAAAGCUGCCAAGCAGUUUGAUGCACUGGUUGCAGCAUUGCCUCUAUCUGAUGGAGGUGAAGAAGAGCAAUUGAAAAGGAUUGCAGAACUACAGGCUGAGAACGAUGUUGUAGGUCAAGAACUUCAAAAGCAGCUACAAGCAGCAGGUGUUACCUCCGUCUUCUUGUUAAUCUUUAUAUUUUCAAGCAGCAGUUGACUGAUGUUUGGCUGGCGACUUACAUCAGUUGAAAUAACUCUAUUUAAUAAUUUUAGCCCUAAAUAGCAAGAAUUAGUACAAGUUCAGGAGCUGUUCAGCCAAGUAGCAGAUAAUUGCUUGAACUUAAAGAAAGCAGAUUGAAAGAGUGGGGGAACUUUCCUAUGCUACCAAUGUAUGGAAACUUUCCGCCUUCAUUUCUGCCACAUGACUCUUUGUUUUUAUAUUACAUAUAUGUAGAAAUAUACGUGAUUCUACAGUUUAUGGAAGAAAAAUAAUUUUGUCCA
This is an RNA transcript of Cucumis melo (muskmelon), 1011 nucleotides long. It is a transcript of the gene named mediator of RNA polymerase II transcription subunit 21, with no coding region annotated. The transcript has 4 exons. NCBI's taxonomy places the organism in Eukaryota, Viridiplantae, Streptophyta, Magnoliopsida, Cucurbitales, Cucurbitaceae. The record is from RefSeq and is a predicted model, not a curated record.